Macaca mulatta (Rhesus monkey) is the source of this 533-nucleotide non-coding RNA. NCBI's taxonomy places the organism in Eukaryota, Metazoa, Chordata, Mammalia, Primates, Cercopithecidae. The record is from RefSeq and is a predicted model, not a curated record.
UAAAGAUGCUUGCAAAAUUCAUUCGUCCAUUUGUUUAUUUAUUUAUUUAACAUGUAUUUAAUGAACUCCUAGUAUUGGCGGGAACUCUUCUAGACCCUGGGAAUACAGUAGAGAAUAAGACAGAGAAGACUAGUGCUCUCAUGGAGCUGAUGUUUCACUGGAAGUGUUAUUAUCAAGCUAUGGAAGCGGUAAAGACCUCCUUUGUGCUAAAGGUGGAGAGCCAUUCUGGGAUUCAGUGACUUCUGAGGACCCUUCUGUGUUGCUUAAUUCAGGAGAUGCCUACAGGAGCAGGAAUGAAAGCUGGUUGUCAAUCCAGGUUUAUGAAGAUGCUGGACAGCUUUGUAAUUUCCUGUAUAAGAACUACAGACCAACAGAGGCCAGAGGUGUUUGAGACACAAACCCUAACCAAGAUGAUUCUUGACCUGUGUCCCAUGUCCAAUACAUAUCGGCCUCUCCCAUCACAUCCCAUCUCCUGAAUGUAAUUGCUGUCUUGAACAUUUAAAAUCAGUUAUGGGCACUGGUAUCAACAUUAA